This 762-nucleotide ribosomal RNA is filed under the name Alectorobius mimon. Its description in RNAcentral is "12S ribosomal RNA". The record is from RNAcentral. Lineage: Eukaryota; Metazoa; Arthropoda; Arachnida; Ixodida; Argasidae.
CAACGGGAAUGAAAUUUUUAACAUAUCUCUUCUUUUCCAAACUACUAAGAAAAAAAGUUUGGAAGAAGAGAAUAUUUAUAUAGUAGGAAAUAUUUUUUUAAAAAGCUCUUUAUGUUAAAGAAUUAAUAUUUGAAAAUAGAAGAUAGAUUUUAUUUCUUUGGAGAACAAAAAUAGGUUUUUUUGGGGUUCUGGCGAAGCCUGUGCCAGCCGCCGCGGUUAUACAGGCAGAAUAUAAUAUUUUAUUUAAAAAAAUAUUGUUGUUUUUAAAAAAUUGGAUUAAUUAGGUGAAAUUAUUAAUUGUUUAUUCUUUUUAGUUUUUUAAAAAUUUAUUUUAAAGAAUAGGAUUAGAUACCCUAUUAUUAUAAAAUGUAAGAUUGGUAGUAGCUUUUGUGUUGUUAAAUUUAAAGAUUAUGGCGGUGUUUUAAGCUUUUUAGAGGAAUUUAUUCUUUAAUUGAUAUGACUCAAGUAUCUUUCUUAAUUUUGUUAAGUCAGCUUGUAUAUCGCUAUCAUUUUUGUAAUGUUGCUGGACAAUUAUAAGGAUAAAUUUUUAUUUAUUAUGUUAGGUCAAAAUGCAGCAAAAAAUUAAGUUUGAAAUAAAUUACAUUAAUUUUUAUUGUUAAAGAGGAAGAAGAUUUUAGGAUUUAAUAGUAAAUUUUAAUUAUAAUGUUAAAUUGAAAAGAGCUCUGAAACAUGCACAUAUCGCCCGUCGCUCUCAAUUUUGAGAUAAGUCGUAACAAAGUAAAGGUACCGGAAGGUGUUUUU